This 309-nucleotide long non-coding RNA is filed under the name Saimiri boliviensis boliviensis (Bolivian squirrel monkey). RNAcentral describes it as "lncRNA (ENSSBOG00000036639.1)". The record is from RNAcentral. Lineage: Eukaryota; Metazoa; Chordata; Mammalia; Primates; Cebidae.
CCGGCCCAAUGCCCUGGAUCGAUGCUGAGGGAAACUCCUGGUGCACAGUCUGGUCUCCAAAGACACAGUUCCUGUCUUCCACCCCCAGGACUUGCCGGAGCAGCCUCACUUGCAGCCCCCACUCAGCAUCCUGGUGAUUGAGCGCCGGGCCUUUGGCCGCACAGUCCUUGUGGGUUCCACAUUGUCCCCCAUAUGCUGCGAUUCACAUUUCGGGGACACGAGGAUUCUCCUGAGGAGGAAGGAGUGAUGGAGGAGACAGGGAAUAUGAUGCCCAAGGGACCGCAAGGUGAGAAACCUUCUCCUUCAGGG